Tachyglossus aculeatus (Australian echidna) is the source of this 144-nucleotide small nucleolar RNA. The record is from RefSeq and is a predicted model, not a curated record. NCBI's taxonomy places the organism in Eukaryota, Metazoa, Chordata, Mammalia, Monotremata, Tachyglossidae.
GCCCUGUCAGGGUCGACCCUGGAGAGUUUCCAGUACUCUGCCAGUUUCAGCUAGGGGAGGGAGAGUCAAGCAGAGACUUAGACUUAUCCAUUCCAUUCCUAGCCUGGGCAGUGGCUAGCGAGUGGAAGACAAUCUGCUACAAGU